RNAcentral lists this ribosomal RNA (465 nucleotides) under uncultured bacterium. RNAcentral describes it as "partial 16S ribosomal RNA". It matches the Rfam family "Bacterial small subunit ribosomal RNA", at positions 28 to 507 of the family's 1533-position model. The record is from RNAcentral.
GACGAACGCUGGCGGCGUGCUUAACACAUGCAAGUCGAACGGAAAGGCCCUGCUUGCUGCUUACUCGAGUGUCGAACGGGUGAGUAACACGAAGGUGAUCUGCCCCUCACUUCGGGAUAAGCCUGGGAAACGGGGUCUAAUACCGGAUAGGAGCCCUAUUUAGUGUGGUGGUUGGAGAGUGUUUUCGGUGUGGGAUGAGCUCGCGGCCUAUCAGCUUGUUGGUGGGGUAAUGGCCUACCAAGGCGGCGACGGGUAGCCGGCCUGAGAGGGUGGACGGCCACAUUGGGACUGAGAUACGGCCCAGAGGCCUACGGGAGGCAGCAGUGGGGAAUAUUGCACAAUGGGCGCAAGCCUGAUGCAGCGACGCCGCGUGGGUGAUGACGGCCUUCGGGUUGUAAAAGGCCUUCGCGAGGGACGAUGCAUGUUGUGACGGUACCUAGAUAAGAAGCACCGGCUAACUACGUG